UGGGGAAUUUUGGACAAUGGGCGCAAGCCUGAUCCAGCAAUGCCGCGUGCAGGAUGAAGGCCUUCGGGUUGUAAACUGCUUUUGUACGGAACGAAACGGCGAGCUCUAAUACAGUUUGCUAAUGACGGUACCGUAAGAAUAAGCAACGGCUAACUACGUGCCAGCAGCCGCGGUAAUACGUAGGGUGCAAGCGUUAAUCGGAAUUACUGGGCGUAAAGCGUGCGCAGGCGGUUAUGUAAGACAGAUGUGAAAUCCCCGGGCUUAACCUGGGAACUGCAUUUGUGACUGCAUAGCUAGAGUACGGUAGAGGGGGAUGGAAUUCCGCGUGUAGCAGUGAAAUGCGUAGAUAUGCGGAGGAACACCGAUGGCGAAGGCAAUCCCCUGGACCUGUACUGACGCUCAUGCACGAAAGCGUGGGGAGCAAACA
This 427-nucleotide ribosomal RNA is filed under the name uncultured bacterium. RNAcentral's name for it is "partial 16S ribosomal RNA". It matches the Rfam family "Bacterial small subunit ribosomal RNA", at positions 355 to 774 of the family's 1533-position model. The record is from RNAcentral.